Molecule: small nuclear RNA, 107 nt
Filed under: Octodon degus (degu)
Lineage: Eukaryota; Metazoa; Chordata; Mammalia; Rodentia; Octodontidae
Source: RNAcentral
GUGCUUGCUUCAGCAGCACAUAUACUAAAAUUGGAACAAUACAGAGAAAAUCAGCAUGGCCCCUGAGCAAGGAUGACACACAAAUUCGUGAAGCGUUCCAUAAAAAA